RNAcentral lists this ribosomal RNA (472 nucleotides) under uncultured bacterium. RNAcentral's name for it is "bacterial SSU rRNA". It matches the Rfam family "Bacterial small subunit ribosomal RNA", at positions 335 to 802 of the family's 1533-position model. The record is from RNAcentral.
ACUCCUACGGGAGGCAGCAGUGGGGAAUAUUGCACAAUGGGGGAAACCCUGAUGCAGCCAUGCCGCGUGUGUGAAGAAGGCCUUCGGGUUGUAAAGCACUUUCAGUAGGGAGGAAGGUAGUGUAGUUAACACCUGCAUUAUUUGACGUUACCUACAGAAGAAGCACCGGCUAACUCCGUGCCAGCAGCCGCGGUAAUACGGAGGGUGCGAGCGUUAAUCGGAAUUACUGGGCGUAAAGCGCAUGCAGGCGGCCUGUUAAGUCAGAUGUGAAAGCCCGGGGCUUAACCUCGGAAUUGCAUUUGAAACUGGCAGGCUAGAGUCUUGUAGAGGGGUUAGAAUUUCAGGUGUAGCGGUGAAAUGCGUAGAGAUCUGAAGGAAUACCAGUGGCGAAGGCGGCCCCCUGGACAAAGACUGACGCUCAGAUGCGAAAGCGUGGGAGCAAACAGGAUUAGAUACCCCUGGUAGACUGUCA